This 301-nucleotide ribosomal RNA is filed under the name uncultured bacterium. Its description in RNAcentral is "partial 16S ribosomal RNA". It matches the Rfam family "Bacterial small subunit ribosomal RNA", at positions 509 to 807 of the family's 1533-position model. The record is from RNAcentral.
CAGCCGCCGCGGUAAUACGAAGGGGGCUAGCGUUGUUCGGAAUUACUGGGCGUAAAGCGCACGUAGGCGGAUAUUUAAGUCAGGGGUGAAAUCCCGCAGCUCAACUGCGGAACUGCCUUUGAUACUGGGUAUCUUGAGUAUGGAAGAGGUUAGUGGAAUUGCGAGUGUAGUGGUGAAAUUCGUAGAUAUUCGCAGGAACACCAGUGGCGAAGGCGGCUAACUGGUCCAUAACUGACGCUGAGGUGCGAAAGCGUGGGGAGCAAACAGGAUUAGAUACCCGUGUAGUCCCUGUCUCUUAUAC